GAUUCCUACGGGAGGCAGUAGUGGGGAAUAUUGGACAAUGGGCGCAAGCCUGAUCCAGCCAUGCCGCGUGAGUGAAGAAGGCCUUCGGGUUGUAAAGCUCUUUUGUCCGGAAAGAAAUCCUGUCGGCUAAUACCCGGCGGGGAUGACGGUACCGGAAGAAUAAGCACCGGCUAACUUCGUGCCAGCAGCCGCGGUAAUACGAAGGGUGCAAGCGUUACUCGGAAUUACUGGGCGUAAAGCGUGCGUAGGUGGUUCGUCAAGUCUGAUGUGAAAGCCCUGGGCUCAACCUGGGAACUGCAUUGGAUACUGGCGAUCUGGAGUGCGGUAGAGGGUAGCGGAAUUCCCGGUGUAGCAGUGAAAUGCGUAGAUAUCGGGAGGAACAUCCGUGGCGAAGGCGGCUACCUGGACCAGCACUGACACUGAGGCACGAAAGCGUGGGGAGCAAACAGGAUUAGAUACCCUGGUAGUCCACGCCCUAAACGAUGCGAACUGGAUGUUGGGUGCAACUUGGCACUCAGUAUCGAAGCUAACGCGUUAAGUUCGCCGCCUGGGAAGUACGGUCGCAAGACUGA
This 572-nucleotide ribosomal RNA is filed under the name uncultured bacterium. RNAcentral describes it as "bacterial SSU rRNA". It matches the Rfam family "Bacterial small subunit ribosomal RNA", at positions 334 to 897 of the family's 1533-position model. The record is from RNAcentral.